This 259-nucleotide ribosomal RNA is filed under the name uncultured soil bacterium. Its description in RNAcentral is "partial 16S ribosomal RNA". It matches the Rfam family "Bacterial small subunit ribosomal RNA", at positions 26 to 287 of the family's 1533-position model. The record is from RNAcentral.
AGGACGAACGCUGGCGGCGUGCUUAACACAUGCAAGUCGAGGGGGCAGUGAGGGCAACCUUGCUGUCACCGGUGAACGGGUGCGUAACACGUGAGCGACCUACCCCUUUGCGGGGGAUAGCCGGCCCAACGGCCGGGUAAUACCGCAUACGCUCGCUUUGGGGCAUUCUGAGGCGAGGAAACUUUUCGGAGGCGGAGGGAGGGGCUCGCGGCCUAUCAGCUAGUUGGCGGGUAACGCCCACCAAGGCGGUGACGGUAGC